This is a long non-coding RNA of Mercenaria mercenaria, 666 nucleotides long. RefSeq lists it as uncharacterized. NCBI's taxonomy places the organism in Eukaryota, Metazoa, Mollusca, Bivalvia, Venerida, Veneridae. The transcript is spliced from 3 exons. The record is from RefSeq and is a predicted model, not a curated record.
CGCAGGCUUGCUAGUCUAAGUCAACUUUUAAGCAUGUUUACAUGUUAAUAAGGGUAUGACAGCAGUUAAUAAUGAAUUGUAAAACUAUUUACGGAUAAGUGAUAUCGAUUUAACGUAAUAAUAUAACUUUUAUGAAGUUAUUUAUGAAGCAAUCAGCCUUCGAUGUUCGUACAUAAAACUUUCGUACACAGUGUCAGGCAAGAUAAAAAAAUUACAACAACAAUGAACAAUUUCAACAAAUGUCUGGAUACCACAAUAUGAUUUCGAACCCAUGGUAAUGCGUGAAUUGAAGUCAGACACCUUACCACCAUGCAACAGUAUCAUCGUGCAUUGGGAAGUAACAGUGAAGCAGAAUACCUACAGUCCAUGAAGUUGAGAAAUGAAGAGAUACAGCUCUGAAUUGUUUAAUACGGUGUUUGGGGAAAACAUUGUGGAUAUGAAGCAUAGAAAUCAUGUGUCAAUGUGAAGUAACAGUAACACAGAAUGGCUAGAGACCAUUAACUUGUGAACUGAAGAGAUGCAGGUCAUUGUUCUAUAUGGUGAUUGAUGGACCCAUGGUGCAGUUUUGUAUUUAUAAGGUAGAUCAUUGAUACAUGUUUUCCAUGCAACCAUAAGAGGUUACUGGCAAGCAGCCUGUGUGAAUAAAGAAUUGGACCAAGGGAACUA